This 400-nucleotide ribosomal RNA is filed under the name uncultured bacterium. RNAcentral's name for it is "bacterial SSU rRNA". It matches the Rfam family "Bacterial small subunit ribosomal RNA", at positions 355 to 746 of the family's 1533-position model. The record is from RNAcentral.
UAGGGAAUUUUGCGCAAUGGACGAAAGUCUGACGCAGCAAUACCGUGUGAGGGAUGAAGCAUUUCGGUGUGUAAACCUCUGUCGAUGAUGAAUAAAGCAUUCGAGAGUGGAAAGCUCGGGUGUUGAAGGUAAUCAUGAAGGAAGCACCGGCUAACUCUGUGCCAGCAGCCGCGGUAAUACAGGGGGUGCAAGCGUUGUUCGGAAUUACUGGGCGUAAAGGGAGCGUAGGCGGAAUUGCAAGACAGGGGUUAAAUCUCCGGGCUCAACCUGGAACUUGCCUUUGUGACUGCAGUUCUUGAGUAUGGUAGAGGUCAGUGGAAUUUCCGGUGUAGCGGUGGAAUGCGUAGAGAUCGGAAAGAACACCAGAGGCGAAGGCGACUGACUGGACCAAUACUGACGC